This 65-nucleotide transfer RNA is filed under the name Fasciola gigantica. Its description in RNAcentral is "tRNA-Phe". Lineage: Eukaryota; Metazoa; Platyhelminthes; Trematoda; Plagiorchiida; Fasciolidae. The record is from RNAcentral. RNAcentral also lists the same sequence under 1 other name.
UCCUUCCUAGCUUAUAGAUUAAAGCGUUAGUUUGAAGAGCUGAAGUUACAUAUGUGGUGGUGGGA